RNAcentral lists this ribosomal RNA (301 nucleotides) under uncultured bacterium. RNAcentral's name for it is "partial 16S ribosomal RNA". It matches the Rfam family "Bacterial small subunit ribosomal RNA", at positions 509 to 807 of the family's 1533-position model. The record is from RNAcentral.
CAGUCGCCACGGUAAUGCGGAGGGUGCAAGCGUUAAUCGGAAUUACUGGGCGUAAAGCGCACGCAGGCGGUUUGUUAAGUCAGAUGUGAAAUCCCCGAGCUUAACUUGGGAACUGCAUUUGAAACUGGCAAGCUAGAGUCUUGUAGAGGGGGGUAGAAUUCCAGGUGUAGCGGUGAAAUGCGUAGAGAUCUGGAGGAAUACCGGUGGCGAAGGCGGCCCCCUGGACAAAGACUGACGCUCAGGUGCGAAAGCGUGGGGAGCAAACAGGAUUAGAUACCCCAGUAGUCCCUGUCUCUUAUAC